RNAcentral lists this ribosomal RNA (610 nucleotides) under Diaporthe sp. SAB-2009a. RNAcentral describes it as "eukaryotic LSU rRNA". The stretch from base 232 to 385 matches the Rfam family "5.8S ribosomal RNA". Lineage: Eukaryota; Fungi; Ascomycota; Sordariomycetes; Diaporthales; Diaporthaceae. The record is from RNAcentral.
UGGAAGUAAAAAGUCGUAACAAGGUCUCCGUUGGUGAACCAGCGGAGGGAUCAUUGCUGGACGCGCCCCGGCGCACCCAGAAACCCUUUGUGAACUUAUACCUACUGUUGCCUCGGCGCAGGCCGGCUUUUUUUGAGAAAAAGCCCCCUGGAGACAGGGAGCAGCCCGCCGGCGGCCAACCAAACUCUUGUUUCUAUAGUGAAUCUCUGAGUAAAAACAUAAAUGAAUCAAAACUUUCAACAACGGAUCUCUUGGUUCUGGCAUCGAUGAAGAACGCAGCGAAAUGCGAUAAGUAAUGUGAAUUGCAGAAUUCAGUGAAUCAUCGAAUCUUUGAACGCACAUUGCGCCCUCUGGUAUUCCGGAGGGCAUGCCUGUUCGAGCGUCAUUUCAACCCUCAAGCCUGGCUUGGUGAUGGGGCACUGCUCUCCCACGAGAGCAGGCCCUGAAAUCUAGUGGCGAGCUCGCCAGGACCCCGAGCGUAGUAGUUACAUCUCGCUCUGGAAGGCCCUGGCGGUGCCCUGCCGUUAAACCCCCAACUUCUGAAAAUUUGACCUCGGAUCAGAGAUAGGAAAUACCCGCUGAACUUAAGCAUAUCAAUAAGUCGGAGGAA